UAAGUGAGUAGUGAAAUCGUGUGGCUCAACCAUUAACGGCUAUUACUCGAAACUGGUAAGCUCGAGAAUGGUAGAGGUAGCUGGAAUUUCUAGUGUAGGAGUGAAAUCCGUAGAUAUUAGAAGGAACACCAAUGGCGUAGGCAGGCUACUGGACCAUUUCUGACGCUGAGGCACGAAAGCGUGGGGAGCGAACCGGAUUAGAUACCCGGGUAGUCCACGCCGUAAACGAUGGAUGCUA
This 238-nucleotide ribosomal RNA is filed under the name uncultured Candidatus Saccharibacteria bacterium. Its description in RNAcentral is "partial 16S ribosomal RNA". It matches the Rfam family "Bacterial small subunit ribosomal RNA", at positions 584 to 818 of the family's 1533-position model. Lineage: Bacteria; Candidatus Saccharimonadota. The record is from RNAcentral.